RNAcentral lists this ribosomal RNA (260 nucleotides) under uncultured archaeon. Its description in RNAcentral is "partial 16S ribosomal RNA". It matches the Rfam family "Archaeal small subunit ribosomal RNA", at positions 748 to 1008 of the family's 1478-position model. The record is from RNAcentral.
AGGGUGUAAACGCUGCAGACUUGGUGUUGGAAGCCCUUUGGGGGCAUUCAGUGCCGGAGAGAAGUUGUUAAGUCUGCUACUUGGGGAGUACGUCCGCAAGGAUGAAACUUAAAGGAAUUGGCGGGGGAGCACCGCAACGGGGGGAGCGUGCGGUUUAAUUGGAUUCAACACCGUAAACUCACCAGGGAAGACUGUUACAUGAAGGCCGAGAUGAAGACUCUGCUAGAUUUUCAGAGAGGUGGUGCAUGGCGUCAGUGACU